RNAcentral lists this ribosomal RNA (429 nucleotides) under Fusobacteriota bacterium. RNAcentral's name for it is "Fusobacteria bacterium partial 16S ribosomal RNA". It matches the Rfam family "Bacterial small subunit ribosomal RNA", at positions 355 to 776 of the family's 1533-position model. Lineage: Bacteria; Fusobacteriati; Fusobacteriota. The record is from RNAcentral.
UGGGGAAUAUUGCGCAAUGGGCGAAAGCCUGACGCAGCGACGCCGCGUGAGGGAUGAAGGUUUUCGGAUCGUAAACCUCUGUCAGAAGGGAAGAAACCGCACUGUGCUAAUCAGCAGUGCCUUGACGGUACCUUCAAAGGAAGCACCGGCUAACUCCGUGCCAGCAGCCGCGGUAAUACGGAGGGUGCAAGCGUUAAUCGGAAUUACUGGGCGUAAAGCGCACGUAGGCUGCUUUGUAAGUCAGGGGUGAAAUCCCACGGCUCAACUGUGGAACUGCCUUUGAUACUGCUUAGCUUGAAUCCGGGAGAGGGUGGCGGAAUUCCAGGUGUAGGAGUGAAAUCCGUAGAUAUCUGGAGGAACAUCAGUGGCGAAGGCGGCCACCUGGACCGGUAUUGACGCUGAGGUGCGAAAGCGUGGGGAGCAAACAGG